Anneissia japonica is the source of this 1146-nucleotide long non-coding RNA. RefSeq lists it as uncharacterized. Lineage: Eukaryota; Metazoa; Echinodermata; Crinoidea; Comatulida; Comatulidae. The record is from RefSeq and is a predicted model, not a curated record. The transcript has 3 exons.
UGUAUUGAAGUAGAUGACAUAAUCAUUCACUCAGAUAACAACAUAAUCUAGUAUAAAAUGGGCAUAUAUUAUAGCAUAAAGUUGUAUUUGUAUAUAAAACUUUAUUUAUCCUUAUAGAUACAAGCCUAUUGCUCAUAUGUUUCUAUCAUCAUAAGUAACUGUAAGGUCAUGUGUUUCUGAUAUGGCACACGCUCACGUACAUGUGAUUAUGAUUAUCACAGUAAACCAUAACAUUUUAUCACUGUACAACUCUUUCAUCGAUAAUACACCAAGCACAAUAGAUAUCAACAAUAAGUAUGUCAGCUAUGUAGGAAUGAUGAGUCACCGAAAAUGAGAGAAAAGUUGAGAUUUCGCCAGCUUCAAAAAUAACCAUGGAAUCUGGGAGAAUCUAUGGCGGGUGUCAGAUGAUCCCUCCACAAGUCCUUGUUUUGCUGAUUUUUGAUCUAGACUACAUAGUAUCCUUCUGAUCUUCUUUGAAUCUGAACUGUUACAACUGAAAACUAGUUUAAUAACCUGAACUUGGCAGGCACGAGCCAACAACACACACAACCUUCCAUUUUGGCUGCAGCACAGCGAUUGAGUAACCACUAGUAUGGAUGAUAUCAGGAAAGGUGCAGGUCUUUCACAGGGAUGACUCAGUGCACCUUACUCAUGCUGCCUUCCUGCAGAGCAUCAAUGUGUAAUUCCAGAAGGGCAAUAGUUCCAUCAACAGGUCUUGGACGGCCGACAAAUUGCCUUCGCUUAGAGGAUGAAUGGAAACAAGUUUUCUGGCUGUCGAUACUGCACAGUGCAUCCGUCAGCAAUGUUGAUAAAUGCUCUGCGACUUUCUUACUUGUAGCUUUUCUUAGUAAACUGAGGAGACUGAUUGUCUACAUAAUUUGCGAUAGAAAAACUUUUGUUCAUUUUCAAUGAUACCUCACAAGAAUAUGAGAAGACUUAUGAGGUAACAAUUGGAGAGUUACUAACUGUUGGAUAUCAAUAAAAAAUGUUCAAUAACAUUAACUUUCCUGAGACUAGUAAUAAUUAUUUAUGCCAAUGUUCCAAGACAACUUUAUUAUUUAUCAUAUUGAUUGCUAACGUAUUACUACACAUAACACACAUAUUCUUGUAGACAACCGAAGGCCUACUAAUCAAAAUAAAAUGUAC